RNAcentral lists this long non-coding RNA (224 nucleotides) under Parus major (Great Tit). RNAcentral's name for it is "lncRNA (ENSPMJG00000009482.1)". The record is from RNAcentral. Lineage: Eukaryota; Metazoa; Chordata; Aves; Passeriformes; Paridae.
GCACAACAUGCGCAUGUCAGUAAGCAAUUAAGAAUGAAAAUUCUCAAAUAUCCAGAUCUCGAAGGUUUGAAAUUAUAGACAUCACUUCAUUCUUCAGGCCAGAAAAAUGAAAGGGCAAGUGAAACAAGACAAAUGGGUGAGAGGAGAUCAAGUGAUUAGCAGAGGAAUGGACUGAAGACUGAGUGGAGAAGAAUGGAGAAUCGACAAAGCCUCCACAGGAUUGC